This 1418-nucleotide ribosomal RNA is filed under the name Protoperidinium avellana. RNAcentral describes it as "LSU rRNA". It matches the Rfam family "Eukaryotic large subunit ribosomal RNA", at positions 43 to 1478 of the family's 3401-position model. Lineage: Eukaryota; Dinophyceae; Peridiniales; Protoperidiniaceae. The record is from RNAcentral.
UGAUUAGGUGUGGGAAGGUAGACUAACAAGUAUUUUCUGAGUAAUGGCGAAUGGACAGAGUUAUGCUCAAUGUGCGAAUUGGGGCACAUGGCUUUGAAUUGUGGCAAUGUGUGGUGUAGCCGGUGGAGGUGUAACUGUGGGCUCCUGGAAAUCUGCAAUGGCAAGGGUGAAGCUCCUGUCUUUCAGUUGGAAGUCUCCAUGACUGGCACACUUUCGCAGAGUUAUAUCUCUUAGCAUUGGUGUAUGAAGGUGGUGAUGCAUUAAAUCAAAGGCUAAAUAGCUGCCUCAGACUGAUAGCAGACAAGUACCAUGUGGGAAAUGUGAGACAUAGCUUUGAAAAGGGAGAUGAUGCUGUUUGAACUUGCUGAAUUGAGGAACGGAGGGACACUGGCUGAACUCAGCAGAAAUGUAGAGCGCAUCCUGUCUUGCACUUUAUCAUCUAAGCACCAAAAGCUGCAUCCUAGAAGAUUGGCGCUUGGUUUCACUUGCCAUGAAAUCCACAGAGAGUUGAAAGCCUAAAAGCAAUAAUGGGCUUGCUGUCAACUACUAAUUGUUCAUGGUGCCUGCUUGCAUUUGAUAAACUACUGCUGUGAAGCUGCCUCAAGCCGCUCAUCCCGUCUUGAAACACGGACCAAGGAGUUGAACAUGUAUUCAGGUUGAGAUGUUGGACAGCAUGGCAGCAUAGUGAAGAUGACGAUUGGGGAACUUGCACAAGGUACCUUCUUCAAACGUUGAGGGCUUGAGGUGGAGGAUGCGUGUUAGGACCCGAAAGGUGGUGAACUAUGUCUUUGAAGGGCAAAGUCAGAGGAAACCCUGAUGGCGGUUUACAGUGGUACUGACGUGCAAAUUGUUCACAGUAUAUAGACAUAGGGGUGAAAGACUCAUCGAAUCAUCUAGUAGCUGGUUCCCUCUGAAAUAUCCCUCAGGAUAGCUGGAUUCCCACAACUUCGCCAGGUAAAGCAAAUGAUUAGAGGAGUCAGACAUUCUCCAAUGUUGACCUAUUCUCAAACUCUAAACAGUUGAGGCCAUGUCUUUACAUGUGAGAAUUUCAUGGGUAUGUGAUUUGUCCAAGUGGGCCAUUCUUGGUAAGCAGAAACGGUGAUGAGGGAUGAACUUAAUGUUUUACAAUUUUGCCUCAUUAUCCACAUAUCAGAAACCAUGAAGGGUGUUGGUUCAUUUGAACAGCUGGACAAUGGUCAUGGAAGUUGAAAUCUGCUAAGGAGCGUGUAAUAACUCACCUGCCGAAUGGAUUAGUCCCAAAAAUGGAUAGCACUGCAGUGGGUGGAAGUUUUAGAACUAAUGUUGCAAAUAACCAGUGGUGAUGAAUAGGGGGGCAUAGAUGCGUUUGCAGAAGCUUGGGGUGAAAGCCUGAGCAAAGGGACUUCAAUUGCAGAUCUUGGUGAGACCUGGUCUGCAGG